RNAcentral lists this ribosomal RNA (495 nucleotides) under uncultured bacterium. RNAcentral's name for it is "partial 16S ribosomal RNA". It matches the Rfam family "Bacterial small subunit ribosomal RNA", at positions 28 to 507 of the family's 1533-position model. The record is from RNAcentral.
GACGAACGCUGGCGGCGUGCCUAAUACAUGCAAGUAGAACGCUGAAGGAGGAGCUUGCUUCUCUGGAUGAGUUGCGAACGGGUGAGUAACGCGUAGGUAACCUGCCUGGUAGCGGGGGAUAACUAUUGGAAACGAUAGCUAAUACCGCAUAAUAGUAGAUGUUGCAUGACAUUUUCUUAAAAGGUGCAAUUGCAUCACUACCAGAUGGACCUGCGUUGUAUUAGCUAGUUGGUGGGGUAACGGCUCACCAAGGCGACGAUACAUAGCCGACCUGAGAGGGGGAUCGGCCACACUGGGACUGAGACACGGCCCAGACUCCUACGGGAGGCAGCAGUAGGGAAUCUUCGGAAAUGGACGGAAGUCUGACCGAGCAACGCCGCGUGAGUGAAGAAGGGUGUCGGAUCGUAAAGCUCUGUUGUAAGAGAAGAACGAGUGUGAGAGUGGAAAGUUCACACUGUGACGGUAGCUUACCAGAAAGGGACGGCUAACUACGUG